Molecule: unclassified non-coding RNA, 437 nt
Filed under: uncultured Eimeria
Lineage: Eukaryota; Apicomplexa; Conoidasida; Eucoccidiorida; Eimeriidae
Description: sequence contains ITS2
Source: RNAcentral
UUUGAUCCUUUCAAAAAUUAUGCUAUAACAUACAGUAUAUGGUGUUGAAAGGUGUAUAUAUAUGCUAAUUAUAUAUAUACGUUUGAUUCAUUAUAUUCUGUAGGGUUAUAGUUUCUUUUGCGCGUUGCAAAGAGAGGAGUUUCAUUCCUCUCUAUGCAUCGUGUAAAGUUUUGUAAGGGGAUUGGUUGCACACAUGGUGAGUAAUCUAAAUAUCCCUCAUAUUAUCCUUUCGUUCAUGAAAGAGAUAUGGUGUGGUUGUUGCUAUUAUAGUUGCAGCUACUAUAUAUAUCUCGUUAGAGAGUGGACGGGAAUGCACAGAUGAUUGUUGUUUGUGCAGCAUUAUAGUGAGUGAUGUUUUUUUCUACUCGAAUUUCAAGGUGUGUAAUGUAUGUGAUCUCCUUUUUAGAUAAAUGAUUUGUCCUAGACCUGAAAUCAGA